RNAcentral lists this ribosomal RNA (420 nucleotides) under uncultured bacterium. RNAcentral's name for it is "bacterial SSU rRNA". It matches the Rfam family "Bacterial small subunit ribosomal RNA", at positions 355 to 773 of the family's 1533-position model. The record is from RNAcentral.
UAAGGAAUAUUGGUCAAUGGACGCAAGUCUGAACCAGCCAUGCCGCGUGAAGGAUGAAGGUCCUCUGGAUUGUAAACUUCUUUUAUCUGGGACGAAAACGGGAUUUUUAUCUCAAUUGACGGUACCAGAGGAAUAAGCACCGGCUAACUCCGUGCCAGCAGCCGCGGUAAUACGGAGGGUGCGAGCGUUAUCCGGAUUUACUGGGUUUAAAGGGUGCGUAGGUGGGCUUAUAAGUCAGUGGUGAAAUCUCCGAGCUUAACUUGGAAACGGCCGUUGAUACUAUAGGUCUUGAAUUAUCUGGAGGUAAGCGGAAUAUGUCAUGUAGCGGUGAAAUGCUUAGAUAUGACAUAGAACACCAAUUGCGAAGGCAGCUUACUACAUAUAAAUUGACGCUGAGGCACGAAAGCGUGGGGAUCAAAC